GUGUGCUCUUUGGCUGAGGGACUGGUGGGCGCUGGAAAUAUUAGAGGCGCCGGUGCCUGUGAUGUCGCCGCCUCUGUGACGUCCCCGCCGCGACCCCACAGGCAGGGAGCCGCAUUUAGGUUUCGGGCGGGCGGACGGGGGACGGCCCGAGUGAGGCGUCCUCCGAAGGCUGCGGGCCCGAAGCCAGAACUCCUUCCUCUCCGAAGACCUCGGGGGUGGGGCUCGCGCUUCCGCAGCGGGCCUAGAGCGAGAGGCAGGCGGCAGGGAGAGGCUGUCGAUGCUGAGGCACGAGAGAAUUUGCUCCUGCUCCUCCAGAGAAAAUGGCUGGGACAGGCUGUUGAGGAAUAAUUCUGCAGGGAAAAGUGGAAGAUGGCUGUGAAAGACUGGGAGGAGGCUGGCUGUGUUUUCAGGGGUUCUUCCUGCACAGUCGGUAGAAGCUGAGCUGCUGGGGAAGGGGCUGGAAGAAAGCCCACACCGCAGGUAUCAGUAGCAAAUUCAAAAACUACAGAAUCAGCUCCAGAGGACUUUGUUAACAAGAAAGAGAAGAUUGAAAACAGCCCUGGGGCUACACCAACUCAAGAGCUCCCAGGCAAAGUGGCAUCCUGGACCCACCAUCUCUCCUACCCCAUCCUCAGUCGGUACUUCCCCAGGCACCGUUUGUUCUGGCAUGGGGCUAGUUCAGCCCUGGGACCACCCUCAUCCUUAUAACUACCAGCUGUCUUUGGUGAGGUGCAAGAUCUCUCUGGUUUUCUUUAUUUCAUUUUCAUUCCUAUAAUCACAGCCUUUUUUGUGCCCAUCCCUCAGGUGACAUUCUAUUAUGUUUGAUGUGUCAUUUUUGAUUUGGUUGUGUCCUUGCAAAAUGUGCGUUGUUUUAUUUAUCAAUUUAUUUUUAUUUUUAUUUUUUUAAAGAGAUGAGGUCUCAUCAUGUUGCCCAGGCUGGACUCCAACUCCUGGGCUCAAGCGAUCCUUCCACCUCAAUCUUCUGAGUGGCUGGGACUACAGAUGUGCGCCACCAUACCUGGCUAUUGAUCAAUUUUUAGUUUACCAAACAGGCAUUAUGUUCUGGGUCCCAUUCUGUGUCGGGUUCUCUUUUCACUCGGCACCAUGGCUUUAGGAUCCAUCCAUGCUGCUCUGUGAACGCCGAGUUGCUUUAACUGCUUGGUGCUCCAUGAGGCAUCCCCUUUUGUGUCUCUGUCCUCCCAGUGAGGGACCCCAUCGUACCCUACUCCCCUCCCACAAAGGAAGCUGUAGUGCGCGUCCUCAGGCGUGUCCCCAUAUGGAUCUGCUGGCAUUCGUUUGUCAGUGCACCCAGGGGUAGAAGUCCUUGGUCUCAGUCUGCAGACGUCUGCCUGAGUGCAGCCAGGUGCCCCCCCAGAGUGGGUAGCCUUGUCCACAUGCCCAUCAGCAGCACCUGAGGGGUCCCAACAGCCCUACAUCCCACCAACUUUCUGCUUUUUUCCAGUCAAAUGGCUCUUGAGUGUUACCUGGCUUUAUUUAUUUAUUUAUUUUUUGAGUCGGGUCUCUGUUGCGCAGGCUGGAGUGCAGUGGUGCAAUCAUGGCUCACUGCAGCCUCGACCUUCCAGGCUCAAACAAUCCUCUCACCUCCUGAGUAGCUAGGACUACACGCAUGUGCCACCAUGCCUGGCUAAUUUUUAAAUUUUUUUGCAGAGAAAGGGUCUUGCUAUGUUGCCCAGGCUGAUCUUGAACUCCUGGCCUCAAGCGAUCCUCCUGCCCCAGCCUCCCAAAGUGCUGGGAUUACAGGUGUGAGCCACUGCUCCCGGCCUGUCUUUAUUUUGUAUUCUUGGAUUCCUAGUGAGUUUGAGCCCCCUCUAUACAUCAUAACCCUUAUGAUACUAGUAAACAUAUAUUUUAUCUUUAACCCCAUUUCUGGCACAGAACUCCUAAAAGCCUUACUCUCCAAAAUGAUCUCUUUCUGUGUACUAAUGGAUUGACUGAAGGCUGGCAGCCCCUAGGUAGCUUCAAGAUGGGGGCUGGUCAUCAGAGAGACAUAGGCAGGAUUAGAGGGUUGGGACUUUCAUCCCACCAUCCCACGUACUGGGAGGGAAGGGGGCUAAAGGUUAAGCGGUUCGCCAAUGGCCAGUGAUUUAUUCAAUCAUGCCUACGUAAUGAAGCCUACACAAAAACCCAAGAAGACCGGGUUCAGAGAACUUCUGGUAGCUGGGCACAUGGAGGUUCCUGGAGGGUGCCAAGCCCUGGAAGCUCUGUGCUCCCUCCCACAUGCCUUGCCCUAUGCAUCUCUUCAUUUGUAUCCUUUGUAAUAUCCUUUCUAAUAAAC
RNAcentral lists this long non-coding RNA (2296 nucleotides) under Homo sapiens (human). RNAcentral's name for it is "MAP3K14 antisense RNA 1". Lineage: Eukaryota; Metazoa; Chordata; Mammalia; Primates; Hominidae. The record is from RNAcentral.